Molecule: RNA transcript, 1852 nt
Organism: Cydia splendana
Lineage: Eukaryota; Metazoa; Arthropoda; Insecta; Lepidoptera; Tortricidae
Gene: Deaf1
Gene name: deformed epidermal autoregulatory factor 1
Exons: 6
Source: RefSeq, a predicted model, not a curated record
AAAGUAAUAUUGAUUUAGUUUUCAUAAAUUAUGAUUGUCAUGCAAGUUUACAAGUAUUUGGAACCGUACUACAAUAAUUUAAAUAAAAAAAAUAGGCUGCUUCCUCCUGUCUAAAGUGAUUACAAUUGAAUUUCGAAUUUGCCGCCAUAACCUCGGAGCGUACGUGUGUGAAAUGUUUUCAUAUUUCGAUUAAUUAUGGCGGACUGUGGCUGAGCGAAGUUCAUUUUUCCAUCCGGAGUGCAAAUAAUUCGUUGAAACGUUGAUGUGCUUCGAUAAAUAAGUGCAGAGGCGGUCGGGGAGUAUCGGGUGGGCGGCGUUCGGCGAUGGCGGAGAACAGGGGUUCGGUAGACGUCGUUAUGCCGGACAUUACCGAAGUGACCGAGCCCGAUCCACUGGCGGCGGCGAGCGAGCGCGAAGUCGAGAGGCUGGAGCGCGACGGCGGCGCGCUCAAAGCGGCCCGUCUCGCCGAUUCCAACGGCGUGGUGACCGUGCCCGUGUCCCUACCAGUCGGGACUCUUAUAACGGGAACGACCUUCAAUGUGAUCACAUCUGACCAGCUGCCGGGGCAUUUUAAGCCGAUGCUCUGCGUGGACAACGGCUUCAUAUCAGGCGGGCCGGUGAACGAGGAUAUAAAAGCGACACAUAUAGUGAUACAAAACCCGCCGUCGCCGCGGCACGAUGAGGGUUCCCAGGCGCCAGCGCGAGCGAGCGCGCGCUCGUGGGCAGAGACGGCGAACAUGCCCAUUCUGCCGGUGCGGUGUAAAAAUACGUCUGCAGAGUUGCACAAGCAGCGGUUCGGUUCGGGAGGCCGCGGGAGGUGUAUUAAGUACGGACUGGAGUGGUACACGCCGAGCGAGUUCGAGGCGUUGUGCGGGCGGGCGUCGAGCAAGGACUGGAAGCGCUCGAUAAGGUUCGGCGGGAGGAGCAUCCAGGCGCUGAUAGAUGAGGGCGUUUUGACGCCGCACGCCACCAGCUGCACAUGCGGCGCGUGCUGCGACGAUCAGUCCGCUAUGGGCCCAGUCCGUCUCUUCACACCCUACAAGCGACGGAGACGCAACCAAGAUGAGGGCACCGAGAAGAAGCCCAAGAUAAAGCGAGACAGCAGUCUCGGGGACAGCGACAUGGACAACAUACACAACACGAGCAACAACAGCCACUCGAAGGAGGCCUGGCAGACCAUAGCGGAGGGCUUGGAGAGUAAUGCGGACUAUCAUCUGCUGGAGGCGCCGGACGCGAGCAACGAUCCUACUGCCAAUCUACCAGACAUGAGUGGCGUGCUGAAGCGUCUCGACGACAUCGGGUCGACACUGUCACGACUAGCCACCGAGUUGAAGCAGUGUGUGGAGGACGUCAGGGGAGUCUCCGCGCGGCAGCUCGCGAGGAUAGAACAGGAGAGGGCGGGGGCGUUGUUGCACGCGGUGGAGCACGCCGAUGCGGCGCUACAUAGCGCUGACGACGCUGAGUCUAAGAAGUGUGCAAACUGCAAUCGCGAGGCGUCAGCAGAGUGCUCGCUCUGCCGCCGCACCCCUUACUGCUCCACCUACUGCCAGAAGAAAGACUGGGCCUCCCACCAGAUUGAGUGUCUCCGCUCCGUGCCCACCAUCCACGACCAGCACCAGUCCAUCAUGCUCAUCGUGGAGAGCCAGCACCAAUAGCGAGAGCCUAAUCUGGAGAGGCUUCGCCCGAGUGUCCUACGUCGGAGAUGACAAAGCCCGCCCCUGCCAGAAUAGGGGCUCCACUAAAUGCCCUAACAACUGUGACUUCUGUCAGAAUACGGACAUUUAUACCGCUACCAGACUUAAACCCCUGCCAGAAUAGGGGCUUCACUACAAGUCAUAACAACUCACAGUGA